UAGCCGUAAACGAUACUCGCUAGGUGUCGGCCACGGUGCGACCGUUGUCGGUGCCGUAGGGAAGCCGUGAAGCGAGCCACCUGGGAAGUACGGCCGCAAGGCUGAAACUUAAAGGAAUUGGCGGGGGAGCACAACAACGGGUGGAGCUUGCGGUUUAAUUGGAUUCAACGCCGAAAAACUCACCAGGAGCGACAUAUGAUAGUCGGGCUGAAGACUCUACUUGAUGAUCUGAGAGGUGGUGCAUGGCGUCAGUGACU
Molecule: ribosomal RNA, 257 nt
Filed under: uncultured archaeon
Lineage: Archaea
Description: partial 16S ribosomal RNA
Rfam family: Archaeal small subunit ribosomal RNA
Source: RNAcentral